AUUGAACGCUGGCGGCAGGCCUAACACAUGCAAGUCGUACGAGUGGCGGACGGGUGAGUAAUGUCUGGGAAACUGCCCGAUGGUGGGGGAUAACUACUGGAAACGGUAGCUAAUACCGCAUACCAUCGGAUGUUCCCAGAUGGGAUUAGCUAGUCGGUGGGGUAGAGGCUCACCUAGGCGCCGAUCCCUAGCUGGUCUGAGAGGAUGACCAGCGACACUGGGCCUGAGACACGGUCCAGACUCCUACGGGAGGCAGCAGUGGUGAAUAUUGCACAAUGGGCGCAAGCCUGAUGCAGCCAUGCCGCGUGUGUGAAGAAGGCCUUCGGGUUGUAAAGUACUUUCAGCGGGGAGGCGUUACCCGCAGAAGAAGCACCGGCUAACUCCGUGCCAGCAGCCGCGGUAAUAC
RNAcentral lists this ribosomal RNA (406 nucleotides) under uncultured bacterium. Its description in RNAcentral is "partial 16S ribosomal RNA". It matches the Rfam family "Bacterial small subunit ribosomal RNA", at positions 30 to 526 of the family's 1533-position model. The record is from RNAcentral.